GACGAAUGCUGGCUGCGUGCUUAACACAUGCAAGUCGAACGGUGAACAGGGGCUUGCCCCUGGGAUCAGUGGCGAACGGGUGAGUAACACGUGGGCAACCUGCCCCUCACUCUGGGAUAACUCCGGGAAACCGGGGCUAAUACCGGAUACGACCAGGCGCGACAUCGGGUCUGGUGGAAAGAACUUCGGUGAGGGAUGGGGCCCGCGGCCUAUCAGCUAGUUGGUGAGGUAACGGCUCACCAAGGCGACGACGGGUAGCCGGCCUGAGAGGGCGACCGGCCACACUGGGACUGAGACACGGCCCAGACUCCUACGGGAGGCAGCAGUGGGGAAUAUUGCGCAAUGGGCGAAAGCCUGACGCAGCGACGCAGCGUGAGGGACGACGGCCUUCGGGUUGGUAAACCUCUUUCAGCGGGGACGGAAGCGAAAGUGACGGUACCCGCAGAAGAAGCACCGGCUAACUACGUGCCAGCAGCCGCGGUAAU
RNAcentral lists this ribosomal RNA (485 nucleotides) under uncultured bacterium. RNAcentral describes it as "bacterial SSU rRNA". It matches the Rfam family "Bacterial small subunit ribosomal RNA", at positions 28 to 524 of the family's 1533-position model. The record is from RNAcentral.